UACGUAGGGGGCAAGCGCUAUCCGGAUUUACUGGGUGUAAAGGGAGCGUAGACGGCAAGACAAGCCUGGAGUGAAAGGCGGGGGCCCAACCCCCGGACUGCUCUGGGAACUGUCUGGCUGGAGUGCAGGAGGGGUAAGUGGAAUUCCUAGUGUAGCGGUGAAAUGCGUAGAUAUUAGGAGGAACACCAGUGGCGAAGGCGGCUUACUGGACUGUAACUGACGUUGAGGCUCGAAAGCGUGGGGAGCAAACAGG
Molecule: ribosomal RNA, 253 nt
Filed under: uncultured bacterium
Lineage: Bacteria
Description: partial 16S ribosomal RNA
Rfam family: Bacterial small subunit ribosomal RNA
Source: RNAcentral